Leguminivora glycinivorella is the source of this 223-nucleotide long non-coding RNA. RefSeq lists it as uncharacterized. Lineage: Eukaryota; Metazoa; Arthropoda; Insecta; Lepidoptera; Tortricidae. The record is from RefSeq and is a predicted model, not a curated record. The transcript is spliced from 2 exons.
UACAGACCUCUUACCCAAAUGCAUAGCCUUUAUUCCGUGAACUGGCUAUGAAACAAAUUAGCAUACUUUUGGUGCAGUACUAGAGUUGAUUUACACCAUUUGAUAUGGACUACAAGAUGAAAGUUCUACAAGUGAAUCUGUUCUAGAAAUCAACAAAUUAUACUAUGAAAUUAACUGGAAGUCUGGAAGAAACUUGUAGAAAAUAAAGUUUUACAAAUUAUUA